RNAcentral lists this ribosomal RNA (253 nucleotides) under uncultured bacterium. RNAcentral describes it as "partial 16S ribosomal RNA". It matches the Rfam family "Bacterial small subunit ribosomal RNA", at positions 524 to 776 of the family's 1533-position model. The record is from RNAcentral.
UACGUAGGGGGCUAGCGUUGUCCGGAAUCAUUGGGCGUAAAGAGCGCGUAGGCGGCCCGGUAAGUCCGCUGUGAAAGUCGGGGGCUCAACCCUCGAAUGCCGGUGGAUACUGUCGGGCUAGAGUGCGGAAGAGGCGAGUGGAAUUCCUGGUGUAGCGGUGAAAUGCGCAGAUAUCAGGAGGAACACCUAUUGCGAAGGCAGCUCGCUGGGCCGUAACUGACGCUGAGACGCGAAAGCGUGGGGAGCAAACAGG